AUAGCUUAGCGGUAAAGUGCUUGGCUUCCGAACCAGGGGUCCCGGGUUCAAAUCCUGGU
Molecule: non-coding RNA, 59 nt
Organism: Biomphalaria glabrata
Lineage: Eukaryota; Metazoa; Mollusca; Gastropoda; Planorbidae
Source: Rfam